Ictidomys tridecemlineatus (thirteen-lined ground squirrel) is the source of this 71-nucleotide non-coding RNA. NCBI's taxonomy places the organism in Eukaryota, Metazoa, Chordata, Mammalia, Rodentia, Sciuridae. The record is from Rfam.
GAUGGUGUAGCUCAGUGGUAGAGUACUUGCCUAAUGUGCCAAGGCCUUGGUUUCAAUCCCCAGCACCAACA